Long non-coding RNA from Bactrocera dorsalis (oriental fruit fly), 1581 nucleotides. RefSeq lists it as uncharacterized. The record is from RefSeq and is a predicted model, not a curated record. The transcript is spliced from 2 exons. NCBI's taxonomy places the organism in Eukaryota, Metazoa, Arthropoda, Insecta, Diptera, Tephritidae.
UUUUUUUUUUUUGACUAUCAAUGGGCAUUGAUAGUUUUUUUUUAACUUUUGAAACUAUCGAUGGUGCGACUAUCGAUAGUUUGACAUCUCGCUCAUUACUAUGCAUUGUGAAAUAACGCCAUCGAGUCAGUUUGCUUUUUUCGUGUUAUUAAAAAUAAAUAUUGUGGUCAAAUUAGUAUAAGUUGCAAUAAAGUACUAAGCUGUAGAUUUACAUAAGUGACGGUUCCUUCCAAAAUGGAAAUCGGGGACAGCAAUUCAUCAGAUGCGCCAGCGAACAAAAAACAAAAAGUUUUGGAUGUUUGGAAGCAUUUCCAACUAAAUGCUGACAAAAAAUAUGCAAAAUGCAUUAAGUGCCAAAAAUUAUAUAAAACUAGUGGAAAUACAUCCAACUUAAUGGACCACCUUAAGCGUGCUCAUCCUCUGCACGCCGAGCAGGCGAAGCCCGGCGGCACAUUGAAGAAUUUUUUUUAAAAAAGAUGACAUCUACGGCAAUAAUUCGACGCGGAAAGCAGACAUUGAUUUGGCGUUGGCAAGAAUGGUUGCUAUAGAUGUACAACCAUUUCGUAUUGUCGAAGAUCAAGGAUUUAGAGAGCUCAUUCGGUGUCUUGAUCCUCGAUAUGAACUACCAUCUCGAAAUACCAUUCUGAAUGUUUAUAUACAAAAGCUUUAUGAAAAUGGUAAAACUAAAUUACAGGCCAUUCUUAAUGAAAUUGAAAGCUGUGCUAUAACCACUGAUUGUUGGUCAUCGAAGGCAAAUGAAAGCUAUUUGACCGUUACGUGUCAUUUCAAUCAAAAUUGAAAACUUUCGUUGGAUCGGAAGCACAGUUGUACUUAUGCGACAAAAUUAAACAGAGGCUGUUUCCAUAUGAAUCCAGAAGUGCUACUAGAUUAGCCACCUUGCUGGAUCCGAGAUUUAAAAAAGAAGGGUUUUAGUCAGGUCAAAAUGCGGCCCAAGCGUCUAUGUUGCUGGAAAACGAAUUGGUUGAAAUCAACAGAAUUGCAGCAUCGUCAUCGAAUGACAACAGGGAGGAACCGUCGGCAUCAAAAAGCGUUAAAAUUCCACAAAUUUAUGAGUUUUUGACAGAGAAACUAUCCAGCAAAGUCAAAUCCAACAGAGCGGAUGCUAUCAUCACACUACGCGAAUACACUGAAAAACCCAAUGAGCCGCUAGAUGUAGACCCAUUGGAAUACUGGAAAGUAGCAAUGACAUUUUGUGUAACGCUUAUAUAAACAAACAUUUAUCUCAAUUUCAGACUAGAUCGACUGAAAUGAAGUCAAUGCAAAUCAUGGCAUGCAAAUAUUUAUGCAUUCCGGCAACUUCAACGGAGUCCGAGCGUAUGUUCAGCAAAGCUGGUGAAUUAGUCUCAGACAGACGAACAAGACUGAAGGAAAAAAAUGUAGAUAUGUUGUUAUUUAUCAACAAAAAUCACAAAAUGUGCAAAUAUUGAUCUCUUUAAAACCACUGAGUGGCUCUUUGAUCUCCGUUUUAACGUAAACUUAAGCUUUCAACUUAUGUUGUAAAUUAAUUUAUUAAUGUUUUUUUAUUAUAAAAAUAAAUAUGAGUUAUUUUGUUCUUGGAAA